Non-coding RNA from Podarcis lilfordi (Lilford's wall lizard), 3035 nucleotides. NCBI's taxonomy places the organism in Eukaryota, Metazoa, Chordata, Lepidosauria, Squamata, Lacertidae. The record is from the annotation of a GenBank genome assembly.
GGCCCAGUGCUUAAGAGAAGAUUUAAAACAGCCAGCCUGUUUGUUGAAAUUUGCAGUUUGCAUCACUCGGCUGGCAUCGUGCGCAACGUCUGGCUUCGGAAAGCCAUAGCAGUGUCUCCCCUUGCAUGCUGCCCUUGAACUGCCGCAAGUGUGAGUGGUGACGGCUCAAGCUGGCAUUUCACCCACUUGGCUGCGGGAGAGAAGAAAGGGAUCAUGGGGAAAAACCAGCCUCCAACUGGCUGCUGUCAGAUUGGCAGCCGUUUCUCACAUUACAGUGAAGGGAGCAAUGCUGUAAGCUGCCUUAGGUCCUGCACUGAGAGAAAGGCGGGAUAUGCAAGGUAAUGAAAUGAAAUGAAAGCAGCAGCCAGGCUAAGUGCACCCUGUCUUGUCCAUGGGAUCACUGUGGUAACAGUCGGCCCUAAAGGACAUUAGAAUGAUAGAUGGGCCAUCUACCUUGUGCUCACCUGCUGGAGGUGAGGUUGCAAAAUGAAUGAUGAGAAAAUUACAGCUGAGCAAGCCUUGACUCUGCAGGGCGUGGGCAGGGCACAUUCCUAGCAGACAAGGGAAAUAAAUCCAGCCCUUUGGUUAUCUCCCCGUGCAUAACCCCAACACAUAUUUCUGCUAUGCACUCCACUUCUGGGGUUAUGAUGUGGGCAAACCCAUUGCAGCUUUCCUUCAUGUCAUGAGAUACACACUGCUUUUACUUCCCCUGCUUGUAGAUUGCAAUGCCAUGAUCAGCCCUUGCUCCAAGAACAGUCUGGCAUAAUGGGGAAAGGUUCCUUUGAGCAAAAGCAGAGUGCCAUUCUUCCCUCUGAAAAUACUCAUUUCUAAAAGUUGAGGAUCAGAGCUUUAGCUAGGUUGCUUUAGAACCUGAGUACCAAAAGCACCAUUGAGAUGUAGAUCUGACGCACUUCCAGGUGAGGGCUUAAUAAUAAUAUUAUUAUUAUAAUAAUAAUUUAUUAUUAUACCCCACCCAUCUGGCUGGGUUUCCCCAGCCACUCUGGGCGGCUUCCAACAAAACACAAAAAUACAACAACCUAUUAAACAUUAAAAGCUUCCCUAAGCAGGGCUGCCUAAACAGGGCAUUGUAAAUAGACCAUUCAGGUAUCACACAUGGAUCAUUGGCAGCAGUUUUUAAAAAGCACUUUUUGCGUUUCUCUCAGGGUAAAUCUGGAUUGGAUUUGAAGUGGAUUGGAAUAUAGGCUGGUGUUUUGAUGGCAAGGACAUCAUGUGGGCUCUGCAAAACAAAAAACAAAACACCUUGCGUAGAUGAGUAGCACCCAUCCCACAAUAAACACCUGUCUGAAACUGCCCUUGUUCUUGUAAAAAAAAAGGAGGAAACUGCAUCAGCAGGAGAUGAAAGAGCAGAGGGGCUUAUCAAACAAGAAAAAGCCUACUGGUGCAUCAGUGCCUGGGGACAAUGAUGCAGACACAUGUCUGAAGGGCAGGGGUGGGGAGGAAACUCCUUGAAUUCUUCAGCAACCUGCCUCAUCUCUGCUUCUCCCCCCCCCCCCGCCUCCACUUCUGCCUCUGAGUCUGGACUGCUGUCUACCACAGCCUCUUCCAGCUCACUAAACCCUGUUGCCUCUUCAGCAUUCGACACCUCCUGCUCAUAGCUGUCAACUUUUCCCUUUUCUUGUGAGGAAUCCUAUUCGGAAUAAGGGAAUUUCCCUUAAAAAAAGGGGAAAGUUGACAGCUGUGCUCCUGCUCCCAGUCUGCCUACCUCCCCUCUGUCCACCCAAUGCCAUCCCACCACCAAUCCCUGGCUCUGAGCCUUCUUCUCUUGGAGGUUCCCUCGGGGGUUCCCCAACUGCCUCCCUCCAUUCCUCUGCAUCCAGCCAGUCUAUGACACUGGCAUCCCCAGGUACGACUGGGGAAGGCAUCCGUCGGAAAACCUGGAGAGCCACAGCCAUUUAGUAUAGACAGUACUGAGUCAGACGUGGAGAGCACUGUAGUAACACCCAGCUAACUCGGUGUAAGUCAGCUGCCGGUGUUCCCACUCUGUUAACAACUGCCUCCGAAAGUGUUAAGUAAGUGUUCUUUUCAAGCUCUUGUUCCGAACAGUUUAUAUAGCACACGGUACAAAUGAGCAAACAUGCUGCCCUAGAGAGGCGACAACUUAUCUGGAGGGUGUACAUAAUCAGGCAUUUCAGAAGGAAAAGAAUGCAAGUUAUUUACCAUUAAAUCUGUUGCUGCAGGGAAAGAUUUCUAAAACCCCUUUGCCAAGCAAGCUCCUUCCCCGCCCCUGGAAGGUUUCUCCAGCUUCAAAACAGCACCAGCUCAUUAAAAGGCAGGGCAGCCAGGCUUCCAUUGCAGUCUCACACUUUUUCUCUCAGAGUUUGCGGUUUUAUAUGGGUCUCCCGCAACCCCCACCCCACCCCCGCCUCCGUCCCCCAAAGCAUCCACUUGACUGCCCAGGAACCUACAGCACCAUCGGCUGAGAAAGCUGUGGCGAAGAACAAACUCCCUCGAGUUUGGAGCCCUGGAGGGCAGCCAUGUUGAAACUAUCAUUGUUUCGGCCCAUGUCUUUCAUUAAAGGCUGCCAGAUAAAUAUUUACAGCUGGUCAUGGGAGGAGGCAAGCUGGAGGGACCUCGCCACAUUUUUCUUCAUUUGACUGCUCAUCUGGCGUAGGCUUUUGCAUCUAUGCAAUAUUGCGUUGAAUUUGUCGUUGCUGUUGUCAUCUUGGUGCAUUAAGAAUUGUGAGCUUUCAUUUCAAAAUAAGCCGUAUCUGAAUCCCACUGUAUUACCAACAUGGCAACGUCUUGUAGAGGUUUUAAGGCAUAUGCCAGAACAUAGUCCUUGGUGUUUAAUGAAUCACAAAUUUCAAGGGAGCUCCUCCCUGCCUGGUUUUGAAUUGUGUUACAUCUGGUAAUCUCCCGCUACCCUGGAAAUCUGAGAUGCCCUGUGUCAGUGUGGCUUCUGGCCUUGUGGUGCUGCUAUGGAAUGCCAGGUCAGUCUGCAAUAUGUUCCUUCAUACAUCUGACAAAGUGGGCCUCAGUCCACAAAAGCUUAUUCUACAAUAAAUAAAUCUGUG